GUGAGGAAUAUUGGACAAUGGGCGCAAGCCUGAUCCAGCCAUGCCGCGUGCAGGAAGACGCAUCUAUGGUGUGUAAACUGCUUUUGUACGGGAAGAAACACUCCCUCGUGAGGGAGCUUGACGGUACCGUAAGAAUAAGGAUCGGCUAACUCCGUGCCAGCAGCCGCGGUAAUACGGAGGAUCCAAGCGUUAUCCGGAAUCAUUGGGUUUAAAGGGUCCGUAGGAGGUUUAAUAAGUCAGUGGUGAAAGCCAAUCGCUCAACGAUGGAACGGCCAUUGAUACUGUUAGACUUGAAUUACAAGGAAGUAACUAGAAUAUGUAGUGUAGCGGUGAAAUGCUUAGAUAUUACAUGGAAUACCAAUUGCGAAGGCAGGUUACUACUUGUGGAUUGACGCUGAUGGACGAAAGCGUGGGGAGCGAACAGGAUUAGAUACCCGAGUAGUCC
RNAcentral lists this ribosomal RNA (445 nucleotides) under uncultured bacterium. Its description in RNAcentral is "partial 16S ribosomal RNA". It matches the Rfam family "Bacterial small subunit ribosomal RNA", at positions 354 to 796 of the family's 1533-position model. The record is from RNAcentral.